GCUUACGGCCACACCGCCCUGGUUCAGGCCCGAUCUCGUUUGAUCUCGGAAGCUAAGAUAGGUUGGGCCUGGUUAGUACUUGGAUGGGGAGACCGCCUGGGAAUACCAGGUGCUGUAAGCU
Scophthalmus maximus (turbot) is the source of this 121-nucleotide ribosomal RNA. NCBI's taxonomy places the organism in Eukaryota, Metazoa, Chordata, Actinopteri, Pleuronectiformes, Scophthalmidae. The record is from Ensembl.